This 253-nucleotide ribosomal RNA is filed under the name uncultured bacterium. Its description in RNAcentral is "partial 16S ribosomal RNA". It matches the Rfam family "Bacterial small subunit ribosomal RNA", at positions 524 to 776 of the family's 1533-position model. The record is from RNAcentral.
UACGUAGGGUGCAAGCGUUGUCCGGAAUUAUUGGGCGUAAAGAGCUCGUAGGCGGCUUGUCGCGUCGACUGUGAAAACCCACGGCUCAACUGUGGGCUUGCAGUCGAUACGGGCAGGCUAGAGUUCGGUAGGGGAGACUGGAAUUCCUGGUGUAGCGGUGAAAUGCGCAGAUAUCAGGAGGAACACCGGUGGCGAAGGCGGGUCUCUGGGCCGAUACUGACGCUGAGGAGCGAAAGCGUGGGGAGCGAACAGG